GUAACGGCGAGUGAAGCGGCAACAGCUCAAAUUUGAAAUCUGGCUCCUUCGGGGCCCGAGUUGUAAUUUGCAGAGGAUGCGUCGGGUACGGGUGCCUUCCGAGUUCCCUGGAACGGGACGCCAUAGAGGGUGAGAGCCCCGUCUGGUAGGACACCCAGCCCGUGUGACGCUCCCUCGACGAGUCGAGUAGUUUGGGAAUGCUGCUCUAACGGGAGGUAUACUCCUUCCAAGGCUAAAUACCGGCUGGAGACCGAUAGGCGCACAAGUAGAGUGAUCGAAAGAUGAAAAGCACUUUGAAAAGAGAGUCAAACAGCACGUGAAAUUGUUAAAAGGGAAGCGCUCGCUACCAGACUUGGGUUCGGCGGUUCAACCGGGGCCACGCCCCGGGGCAUUCCGCCGGCCCAGGCCAGCAUCAGCUUUCCGUCGGGGGUAAAGGCGUCGGGAAUGUGGCUCCCCUUCGGGGGAGUGUUAUAGCCCGUCGUGUCAUACCCUUCGGGGGGCUGAGGUACGCGCUUCUGCAAGGAUGCUGGCGUAAUGGUAGCUAGUGACCCGUCUUGAAACACGGACCAAGGAGUCAACCUUAUGUGCGAGUGCCCGGGCGUAAAACCCCAGCGCGGAAUGAAAGUGAACGUAGGUGAGAGCUUCGGCGCAUCACCGACCGAUCCUGAUGUCCUCGGACGGAUUUGAGUGAGAGCAUAUAGGGUUGGACCCGAAAGAAGAUGAACUAUGCGUGUGUAGGGUGAAGCCAGAGGAAACUCUGGUGGAGGCUCGCAGCGGUUCUGACGUGCAAAUCGAUCGUCAAACAUGCGCAUGGGGGCGAAAGACUAAUCGAAUCUUCUGGUAGCUGGUUUCCGCCGAAGUUUCCCUCAGGAUAGCAGUGUUGAUCCCAGUUUUAUGAGGUAAAGCGAAUGAUUAGGGACUCGGGGGCGCUAUAUUGCCUUCAUCCAUUCUCAAACUUUAAAUAUGUAAGAAGUCCCCGUUUCUUAACUGAACGCGGACGCUGGAAUGUCACAACACUAGUGGGCCAUUUUUGGUAAGCAGAACUGGCGAUGCGGGAUGAACCGAACGCGAGGUUAAGGUGCCGGAGUGGACGCUCAUCAGACACCACAAAAGGUGUUAGUACAUCUUGACAGCAGGACGGUGGCCAUGGAAGUCGGAAUCCGCUAAGGACUGUGUAACAACUCACCUGCCGAAUGUACUAGCCCUGAAAAUGGAUGGCGCUCAAGCGUCCCACCCAUACCUCGCCCUCGGCGCUGGCUCGGCGCGCCGAGGAGUAGGCGGACGUGGAGGU
Molecule: ribosomal RNA, 1291 nt
Filed under: Plectosphaerella cucumerina
Lineage: Eukaryota; Fungi; Ascomycota; Sordariomycetes; Glomerellales; Plectosphaerellaceae
Description: partial large subunit ribosomal RNA
Rfam family: Eukaryotic large subunit ribosomal RNA
Source: RNAcentral